GACGAACGCUGGCGGCGUGCUUAACACAUGCAAGUCGAACGGAAAGGCCCUGCUUUUGUGGGGUGCUCGAGUGGCGAACGGGUGAGUAACACGUGAGUAACCUGCCCUUGACUUUGGGAUAACUUCAGGAAACUGGGGCUAAUACCGGAUAGGAGCUCCUGCUGCAUGGUGGGGGUUGGAAAGUUUCGGCGGUUGGGGAUGGACUCGCGGCUUAUCAGCUUGUUGGUGGGGUAGUGGCUUACCAAGGCUUUGACGGGUAGCCGGCCUGAGAGGGUGAACGGCCACAUUGGGACUGAGAUACGGCCCAGACUCCUACGGGAGGCAGCAGUGGGGAAUAUUGCACAAUGGGCGGAAGCCUGAUGCAGCAACGCCGCGUGCGGGAUGACGGCCUUCGGGUUGUAAACCGCUUUCGCCUGUGACGAAGCGUGAGUGACGGUAAUGGGUAAAGGAGCACCGGCUAACUACGUG
This 468-nucleotide ribosomal RNA is filed under the name uncultured bacterium. RNAcentral's name for it is "partial 16S ribosomal RNA". It matches the Rfam family "Bacterial small subunit ribosomal RNA", at positions 28 to 507 of the family's 1533-position model. The record is from RNAcentral.